CGGCCGUCUUUUUGGUUUCACUCUGCAUACAAACGGCGCAAAAUCCUAAAAAAGGUUGAUACCCUUUCGCCUCUGAGUCACAGAGCAGCAAACUGAGCUCAAGUGGCUCCUGUAGAUCAGAAGUAAUCCUCUGAGCGCUGGAACUGUGAGAUCUAAUUAGCGUUGUUGUGAGGCCGUUAGUGCCUCUCCGCCUCCGCUUCGUACCGGCUCACGCCAACGCCGCUGUGUUUGGCGAAGCCGUAAACAAAGAGCACGAGCGGGAUACACGAUGCAUCGCGUUGAAUUUAGUUUGGUAACGAGCGCUCAUAUCUAAUGAGACUUCACACGCAGUCACGAGGAGGCCGGAAGUGCCUCAAAGUCGCGUUCUCUCUUGUUUUUGACAGAACUCAGUUCAUCAACGUUCAGAAUCAGAAGCCGUUCUUUGCCACGUAUGUUACACAUACAGCAAUGUGAAAAGAAAACAAUAAAAUAAGAUACCAAUACACAAGCAAAAAUGAACAAUAUUAAACAGAUAAGAGAAGUACCACUGUGCAGAUGUCCUGUGUCCUGUGUCCUGUGUCCUGUGUCUGGGUCGGCGGGGACUCGGACUUCAUUUUUUUGUUUGUGCAGGCGUUAAUGAUACGAGAGCGCACAGAAGAGAGAGAAGAAGAAGAGAGGGAGGACGCCUCGUCCCAAAGACAGCACAUGUGUUUUGUGGACCAGGAAGUGACUUUUACAGUGUGUUUACGCUCUGUGGGGGAAAUGAACAUGCAUGUGGCAUCAAAGCACCUCCAGGACACCACUGAACAUCAGACAUCGUCGCUUCUCCCCACCUAUCAGACAACGUAUAUCUGUACAUGCUGCUUUUUAAUCUAAUUUAAAUGAAUAUAAUCUUCUUUUAUACUCUAACACAUUGUCCGCUUAGAACUUGAUGUAUAUGCACAACUAAUAUAAACUUAUAUCUUCAAGUCUUUGACCAGAAAUGGUAGAAGAGUAGAGAGUUUAAAACAGAGAACAUUCCAAGUUUUUUAACCAACAAAAAUGUAUACAACUGCUACUGAUGAAGGAAAAUAUGAGAAAAUAAAUAAUACAAAUAUUUUCAAAGACCAGAGACACAAGACAACAUUGUAUUUGAGGCGGGAGAACGUGGACACACACUUACGAUGGGUUUGGUGAACUGAUGGUUCAGCAGUAAAUAUUGUGAUCAAGCUGUCACAGUGUAUAAACAUCUGUACACAGACAGAGUGAGAGAGCAGAAAGAUUAGCAGACUUUGAGACAGACGGAGACGAGGGACGGAGACAAACGGCCAACGGCAGCCGGUGAGAGGAGGCGAAGGAGCAAAGACGUUGAAUGCAUGAGAUGUGAGUUCAGAGGCAGCGGCGAGGUGACGUCAUGAGAAGAGUCGGCUUCCGUCCUCUUGCACUCAAACGCCUGCUCACACACUUGACCCACAAACACGACUUGUUGUUAUUGGAGGUCCUACUAAAUAAGAUUAUUUGUUAUUUAUCAUUUCAUAUAUUUCACAAGGUUAGAAGUUAGAGGACCAGAGCUGUGGAAACGUAUCUACAAUCCAUCUGUUAAUCUGCUGUCGCUGUAAUUCCUCUAAUCAAGAGGAGCGAUGGAUUUAAGGAGAGUAAAGAAAAAGGAGAAGAGAUGGAAGGAGGCAGAUGUGUGGAGGAGAGAAAGGGUGUGGCAGAUGUGUGGAGGAGAGAAAGGGUGAGGCAGAUGUGUGCAGGAGAGAAAGGGGGAGGCAGAUGUGUGAAGGAGAGAAAGGAGGAGGCAGAUGUGUGCAGGAGAGAAAGGGGGAGGCAGAUGUGUGCAGGAGAGAAAGGGGGAGGCAGAUGUGUGCAGGAGAGAAAGGGGGAGUCAGAUGUGUGCAGGAGAGAAAGGGGGAGUCAGAUGUGUGCAGGAGGGAAAGGGGGAGUCAGAUGUGUGCAGGAGAGAAAGGGGGAGUCAGAUGUGUGCAGGAGGGAAAGGGGGAGUCAGAUGUGUGCAGGAGAGAAAGGGGGAGGCAGAUGUGUGCAGGAGGGAAAGGGGGAGGUAGAUGUGUGGGGGGGGAUCAUGAAUAUUGCACAGCAGGUUUACUACUUGGAGGCGAGGGCUUCCCUUCCCUGUUUAUUCCCCGCCGACACACUCAGCCCUGUGCUGCAUUGUGUAACGCUAUCCCUGUUUAAC
Gasterosteus aculeatus aculeatus (three-spined stickleback) is the source of this 2155-nucleotide long non-coding RNA. The record is from Ensembl. NCBI's taxonomy places the organism in Eukaryota, Metazoa, Chordata, Actinopteri, Perciformes, Gasterosteidae.